GACGAACGCUGGCGGCGUGCUUAACACAUGCAAGUCGAACGGUGACCUUGGUGCUUGCACCAGGCGAUCAGUGGCGAACGGGUGAGUAACACGUGAGUAACCUGCCCCCGACUCUGGGAUAACCCCGGGAAAUCGGAGCUAAUACCGGAUACGAGACGCACAGGCAUCUGUGAGUCUGGAAAGAAAUUCGGUCGGGGAUGGACUCGCGGCCUAUCAGCUAGUUGGUGAGGUAACGGCCCACCAAGGCGACGACGGGUAGCCGGCCUGAGAGGGCGACCGGCCACACUGGGACUGAGACACGGCCCAGACUCCUACGGGAGGCAGCAGUGGGGAAUAUUGCACAAUGGGCGAAAGCCUGAUGCAGCGACGCCGCGUGGGGGAUGAAGGCCUUCGGGUUGUAAACCCCUUUCAGCAGGGAAGAAGCGAAAGUGACGGUACCUGCAGAAGAAGCGCCGGCUAACUACGUGCCAGCAGCCGCGGUAAUACGUAGGGCGCAAGCGUUGUCCGGAAUUAUUGGGCGUAAAGAGCUCGUAGGUGGUUUGUCGCGUCUGCUGUGAAAACCCGAGGCUCAACCUCGGGCCUGCAGUGGGUACGGGCAGACUAGAGUGCGGUAGGGGAGACUGGAAUUCCUGGUGUAGCGGUGGAAUGCGCAGAUAUCAGGAGGAACACCGAUGGCGAAGGCAGGUCUCUGGGCCGCAACUGACACUGAGGAGCGAAAGCAUGGGGAGCGAACAGGAUUAGAUACCCUGGUAGUCCAUGCCGUAAACGUUGGGCACUAGGUGUGGGGCUCAUUCCACGAGUUCCGUGCCGCAGCUAACGCAUUAAGUGCCCCGCCUGGGGAGUACGGCCGCAAGGCUAAAACUCAAAGGAAUUGACGGGGGCCCGCACAAGCGGCGGAGCAUGCGGAUUAAUUCGAUGCAACGCGAAGAACCUUACCAAGGCUUGACAUAUGCCGAAAACUCAUAGAGAUAUGAGGUCCGCAAGGGCGGUAUACAGGUGGUGCAUGGUUGUCGUCAGCUCGUGUCGUGAGAUGUUGGGUUAAGUCCCGCAACGAGCGCAACCCUCGUCCUAUGUUGCCAGCACAUCAUGGUGGGGACUCAUAGGAGACUGCCGGGGUCAACUCGGAGGAAGGUGGGGAUGACGUCAAAUCAUCAUGCCCCUUAUGUCUUGGGCUUCACGCAUGCUACAAUGGCCGGUACAAAGGGCUGCGAUACCGCAAGGUGGAGCGAAUCCCAAAAAGCCGGUCUCAGUUCGGAUUGGGGUCUGCAACUCGACCCCAUGAAGUCGGAGUCGCUAGUAAUCGCAGAUCAGCAACGCUGCGGUGAAUACGUUCCCGGGCCUUGUACACACCGCCCGUCAAGUCACGAAAGUCGGUAACACCCGAAGCCGGUGGCCCAACCCUUGGGAGGGAGCCGUCGAAGGUGGGACCAGCGAUUGGGACU
Molecule: ribosomal RNA, 1442 nt
Filed under: actinobacterium SOC A20(63)
Lineage: Bacteria; Bacillati; Actinomycetota; Actinomycetes
Description: bacterial SSU rRNA
Rfam family: Bacterial small subunit ribosomal RNA
Source: RNAcentral